AAAACAGGGAUGAACGCUAGCGACAGGCCUAACACAUGCAAGUCGAGGGGCAGCACAUGAUGCAGCAAUGCGGAUGGUGGCGACCGGCGCACGGGUGAGUAACACGUAUGCAACCUGCCUUCAACCGGAGGAUAACCCGUUGAAAGACGGACUAAUACUCCAUAACACAGGGGUCCCGCAUGGGGAUAUUUGUUAAAGAUUAAUCGGUUGAAGAUGGGCAUGCGUUCCAUUAGCUUGUUGGCGGGGUAACGGCCCACCAAGGCAACGAUGGAUAGGGGAACUGAGAGGUUUAUCCCCCACACUGGAACUGAGACACGGUCCAG
This 323-nucleotide ribosomal RNA is filed under the name uncultured Porphyromonadaceae bacterium. RNAcentral describes it as "bacterial SSU rRNA". It matches the Rfam family "Bacterial small subunit ribosomal RNA", at positions 27 to 334 of the family's 1533-position model. Lineage: Bacteria; Pseudomonadati; Bacteroidota; Bacteroidia; Bacteroidales; Porphyromonadaceae. The record is from RNAcentral.